CUGCAGCCCGAGUGGUGAUCGAUUUUAUUGAGCCUAAAGCGUCCGUAGCCGGGCUAGUAAACCCUUGGGUAAAUUGGGCAGCUUAACUGUCCAAAUUCCGAGGGGACUGCUAGUCUUGGGACCGGGAGAGGUCAGAGGUACUCAAGGGGUAGGGGCUAAAUCCUGUAAUCCUUUGGGGACCACCAGUGGCGAAGGCGUCUGACUAGAACGGAUCCGACGGUAAGGGACGAAACCCUGGGGCGCGAACCGGAUUAGAUACCCGCGUAGUCC
This 270-nucleotide ribosomal RNA is filed under the name uncultured archaeon. RNAcentral describes it as "partial 16S ribosomal RNA". It matches the Rfam family "Archaeal small subunit ribosomal RNA", at positions 477 to 747 of the family's 1478-position model. The record is from RNAcentral.